RNAcentral lists this ribosomal RNA (422 nucleotides) under Mycobacteriaceae bacterium Ellin7177. Its description in RNAcentral is "bacterial SSU rRNA". It matches the Rfam family "Bacterial small subunit ribosomal RNA", at positions 28 to 452 of the family's 1533-position model. The record is from RNAcentral. Lineage: Bacteria; Bacillati; Actinomycetota; Actinomycetes; Mycobacteriales; Mycobacteriaceae.
GACGAACGCUGGCGGCGUGCUUAACACAUGCAAGUCGAACGGAAAGGCCUCUUCGGAGGUACUCGAGUGGCGAACGGGUGAGUAACACGUGGGCAAUCUGCCCUGCACUUCGGGAUAAGCCUGGGAAACUGGGUCUAAUACCGGAUAGGACCUUAAGACGCAUGUCUUUUGGUGGAAAGCUUUUGCGGUGUGGGAUGGGCCCGCGGCCUAUCAGCUUGUUGGUGGGGUGACGGCCUACCAAGGCGACGACGGGUAGCCGGCCUGAGAGGGUGUCCGGCCACACUGGGACUGAGAUACGGCCCAGACUCCUACGGGAGGCAGCAGUGGGGAAUAUUGCACAAUGGGCGCAAGCCUGAUGCAGCGACGCCGCGUGGGGGAUGACGGCCUUCGGGUUGUAAACCUCUUUCGCCAUCGACGAAGGU